UCGGACGUGGUGCACGGUGCACACCCGCUUACUGUGUGGUAUAUGUGGACGAACAAAGUUAGCAGGAAAGCUGGGUUCGACUCCCAGCGUCCGAU
Molecule: non-coding RNA, 95 nt
Organism: Mycena galericulata
Lineage: Eukaryota; Fungi; Basidiomycota; Agaricomycetes; Agaricales; Mycenaceae
Source: the annotation of a GenBank genome assembly